AGUGAACGCUGGCGGUAGGCCUAACACAUGCAAGUCGAACGGCAGCACAGUAAGAGCUUGCUCUUACGGGUGGCGAGUGGCGGACGGGUGAGGAAUACAUCGGAAUCUACUUUUUCGUGGGGGAUAACGUAGGGAAACUUACGCUAAUACCGCAUACGACCUACGGGUGAAAGCAGGUGAUCUUCGGACCUUGCGCGAUUGAAUGAGCCGAUGCCGGAUUAGCUAGUUGGCGGGGUAAAGGCCCACCAAGGCGACGAUCCGUAGCUGGUCUGAGAGGAUGAUAGGCCACACUGGAACUGAGACACGGUCCAGACUCCUACGGGAGGCAGCAGUGGAGAAUAUUGGACAAUGGGCGCAAGCCUGAUCCAGCCAUACCGCGUGGGUGAAGAAGGCCUUCGGGUUGUAAAGCCCUUUUGUUGGGAAAGAAAAGCAGCAGGUUAAUACCCCGCUGUUCUGACGGUACCCAAAGAAUAAGCACCGGCUAACUUCGUG
This 492-nucleotide ribosomal RNA is filed under the name uncultured bacterium. RNAcentral's name for it is "partial 16S ribosomal RNA". It matches the Rfam family "Bacterial small subunit ribosomal RNA", at positions 29 to 507 of the family's 1533-position model. The record is from RNAcentral.